Non-coding RNA from Pangasius djambal, 87 nucleotides. NCBI's taxonomy places the organism in Eukaryota, Metazoa, Chordata, Actinopteri, Siluriformes, Pangasiidae. The record is from the annotation of a GenBank genome assembly.
GUAGUCGUGGCUUAAUGGUUAGAGCGGCAGACUUGUAACCUGAAGUUGAAUCUGAAGGUUGUGGGUUUGAGUCUCAGGUCUGGUAGG